RNAcentral lists this ribosomal RNA (232 nucleotides) under uncultured bacterium. RNAcentral describes it as "partial 16S ribosomal RNA". It matches the Rfam family "Bacterial small subunit ribosomal RNA", at positions 796 to 1041 of the family's 1533-position model. The record is from RNAcentral.
CACGCCGUAAACGUUGAGAACUAAGUGUUGGGGAGACCCAGUGCUGAAGCUAACGCAUUAAGUUCUCCGCCUGAGGAGUACGCACGCAAGUGUGAAACUUAAAGGAAUUGACGGGGGCCCGCACAAGCAGUGGAGCAUGUGGUUUAAUUCGAGGCUACGCGAAGAACCUUACCAGGGCUUGACAGGAAACUUAAGACCCUAGAGAUAGGGGGAUAAUAAGUGAAACAGGUGG